Molecule: long non-coding RNA, 302 nt
Filed under: Mytilus galloprovincialis (Mediterranean mussel)
Lineage: Eukaryota; Metazoa; Mollusca; Bivalvia; Mytilida; Mytilidae
Source: RNAcentral
AGCUCCUAGGAAACUUGACAUAGUUGAAUGCACUGAUUUUUCAAUAACCAUUGAAUGGUUUAUUGAUGUCCCAGACGAGUGCCUAUCGUAUGAGCUUGAUUAUCGGCCUCAACGAACAAAGGACUGGUCUACCGGGAAAUUCCUUUCUAAAGAUGUUUUGAAAGAGGAAUAUGGACGACGCAUGUACAAACUUCAAAAUUUGCAACCUGAAACAUAUUAUGAAUUAAAAAUGCGUUCCGUUUAUGAAGAGGAUGUGAAAAGCCAUUAUUCUGAGUCUAAAACCAAGCAGACACUGAAAUUAG